Molecule: non-coding RNA, 409 nt
Organism: Paramuricea clavata
Lineage: Eukaryota; Metazoa; Cnidaria; Anthozoa; Malacalcyonacea; Plexauridae
Source: the annotation of a GenBank genome assembly
GCGUAUGGAAUUUUCUUUUUUAAGCAGCGGAAUUUCCAAAAUGUCCGUGUUAUAGAGGUGACUGUAUAUAAAAAGGCCACAUAAAUUUGAUUAAGUUGUCAUAUAUAGAAAAAGUACUAUUGUUUAUGCACAAAGGUACUGAAAUUUUAUAAUAGUAUAAGACUAAACUAAGAUAGUGUUUUUAUAAUGUUUAGUUCCUCUUUCGUCUUCUUCGGUGGCGUCUGUCUUGUUCUGUCGUUUGGGCUUCAGCUUUGAACUUCCUUGCUUAUUCUGCUUCCAUUCUGUAUCCACGCGAGCUCUGCAUUUAAUAUACUCUGCGUGACUAAAUUUGGGCUACUGACUAUAAGGUUGAGCUGCAAUCCUGGAAAAAAAUUAGUAGACUUCUAAAAUAUUCAAACUUUGUCCCCCU